Long non-coding RNA from Pan troglodytes (chimpanzee), 1381 nucleotides. RefSeq lists it as uncharacterized. NCBI's taxonomy places the organism in Eukaryota, Metazoa, Chordata, Mammalia, Primates, Hominidae. The transcript has 2 exons. The record is from RefSeq and is a predicted model, not a curated record.
GUUCUUAGGACCGACUCUAAGCUCACGAGCCUGGAGUCUGAUGCUCUCUGUGAUCUGGCCAAUGCUGGCCCCUCUGGCCUAGUCCUGAUCAUCCCAGGCACACACCCUCCUUGGUGCCCAGCAGAGCUCCCUCAGAGCAGAAUGAAGAGGGGAAGGAGCGUCCACACCACCAUGCUUUGAACGUGGAGCCCCUUGGCCUGGAAUAGCUUCCUGAUACUCUGAGUCCCUGGGCAGUUCCAACUCCCUGGAGAGUCUGGCCUCCUGAGGGUUCUACGACGGGGCCUGUUCUCCCUCUCCACAGAAGAAGAGACCGAGGUCAGAGAGGCUCAAUGCCCCGCCUGAGCCUGCACUGCUAGGACUCACACCCAGGUCCUGGGCCCCCGUAGUGUGUCCUCCGCUUUGAAGCAAGUUGGUCAGAGAAGCACACCCCUGGCAGUGGACUGCCCGGCAGAGGCAUCAGCUGCUCUGCUGGGACCCUGUGAGGGCUCCUCUAGGGAGGCCACCUGCUGACCACGCUCCUGUAAGUGCCGGAGCACGGUGGUCUCCAUCAGGCGUUGGGACCCCCCACUGGCUCUUGGGACUUGCAGCUGAGCAGAUGCAACAUGGCACGUGAGAGCAGAGUGGCUUCUGAGUGGCGGCUGGAAACCCAGCAGAUUCAACCUGUAGGGCAUGCUGUGCAAAUGUGGGCAGACAGCGUGCAGCAGUUGCCAUCGGCGUCCCUCCCGGCCUCUGGCCAUCAUGAGGCCAAGGCUCUGACCUCUUCCAGCACCCUGAGCAUGAGGCCCCGAGAAGGCACCAUCACAACCAGGGUCCUGUUUGUCAUGACUACCUGGAUUGCUCAAAUUCCCAUUUGACUCAGGAAGACAUGGCAUCUCUGGAAAUUGAGGCUGAGCUGGCAGGAGGGAGCUGGGAUUCCCACCUGCACCUGCCCCUUCCCUGGGGAUUUGCUGGUAGGACCUACAGGGACAGGUGGGGGGCUUGGUCCAGCAUCGCCGCUCCUCAUGCACCCCUCAGGAAAAUGUCUAGAGCCAUGGGGAGCUGACCAUCAUUUCUUAGGAGCCUUUAGGCCAAAGGACAAAAAGGUGACACUGCCCCACCCCCACGACGCCAGGGACCCUGGACCUCAGGCCGAGGGUCAGCAUCCCCAUGAUCUCAGGCCUGAGGCUGGCUUCCCUUGAGGGGUGUCGGCCUGGCAGUGUGUCCCAGACAGCUCAGCUAUCUCCAAAGGCCCUGGGAAGCUGGGCUCUGCUGACCCCACACUCUGCUCUCAGGACCCCCUGUCUGUUCCCAAGGCUCCAGCCAAGUCCCCUGCCAGCUCAGGGUGUGUAGGAGACCCCUCCCUCACCACCCCGAUCUCUCAGCAUAAACUCCAUUCUGCCAA